RNAcentral lists this ribosomal RNA (447 nucleotides) under uncultured bacterium. Its description in RNAcentral is "bacterial SSU rRNA". It matches the Rfam family "Bacterial small subunit ribosomal RNA", at positions 355 to 825 of the family's 1533-position model. The record is from RNAcentral.
UAACGAAUCUUCCGCAAUGCACGAAAGUGUGACGGAGCGACGCCGCGUGGAGGACGAAGUUCUUCGGAAUGUAAACUCCUGUCAGGGGAAAGAAAGUUCUGAUCUACCCCAGAGGAAGAGGCGGCUAACUCUGUGCCAGCGGCCGCGGUAAUACAGAGGCCUCGAGCGUUAGACGGAAUCACUGGGCUUAAAGCGUGUGUAGGCGGAAGGGUAAGUACCUUGUGAAAUCCCACGGCUUAACCGUGGAACGGCUUGGUAUACUGCUUUUCUUGAGCAAUCUAGGGGCGAGUGGAACAGAUGGUGGAGCGGUGAAAUGCGUAGAUAUCAUCUGGAACGCCAAUGGUGAAGACAACUCGCUGGGGAUUUGCCGACGCUGAGACACGAAAGCCAGGGGAGCGAACGGGAUUAGAUACCCCCGUAGUCCCUGAGCGGGCUGGCAAGGCGCAU